GUGCUGUUUUGGCAGCACAUAUACUAAAAUUGGAAUGAUAGAGGAGAUUAGCAUGGCCCCUGGGCAAGGAUGACAUGCAAAUUCGUGAAGCAUUCCAUAUUAAA
This 104-nucleotide small nuclear RNA is filed under the name Myotis davidii. The record is from RNAcentral. Lineage: Eukaryota; Metazoa; Chordata; Mammalia; Chiroptera; Vespertilionidae.